This 245-nucleotide ribosomal RNA is filed under the name uncultured bacterium. Its description in RNAcentral is "partial small subunit ribosomal RNA". It matches the Rfam family "Bacterial small subunit ribosomal RNA", at positions 26 to 285 of the family's 1533-position model. The record is from RNAcentral.
AGAAUCAACGCUGGCGGCGUGCCUAACACAUGCAAGUCGAACGAGAAAGGGUAGCAAUACCUGAGUAAAGUGGCGCACGGGUGAGUAACACGUGACUAACCUACCUUUUAGUGGGGGAUAACCUAGGGAAACCUGGGCUAAUACCGCAUAAUACCUACGGGUCAAAGCAGCAAUGCGCUGAAUGAGGGGGUCGCGGUCGAUUAGUUAGUUGGCAGGGUAAUGGCCUACCAAGACUGUGAUCGGUA